RNAcentral lists this ribosomal RNA (1463 nucleotides) under uncultured Bordetella sp. RNAcentral describes it as "partial 16S-23S ribosomal RNA intergenic spacer". It matches the Rfam family "Bacterial small subunit ribosomal RNA". Lineage: Bacteria; Pseudomonadati; Pseudomonadota; Betaproteobacteria; Burkholderiales; Alcaligenaceae. The record is from RNAcentral.
GGUUCGAUUAUGGCUCAGAUUGAACGCUGGCGGGAUGCUUUACACAUGCAAGUCGAACGGCAGCACGGACUUCGGUCUGGUGGCGAGUGGCGAACGGGUGAGUAAUGUAUCGGAACGUGCCUAGUAGCGGGGGAUAACUACGCGAAAGCGUAGCUAAUACCGUAUACGCCCUUCGGGGGAAAGCGGGGGACCCGGCCUCGCACUAUUAGAGCGGCCGAUAUCGGAUUAGCGGUUAUGGGGUAACGGCUCACCAAGGCGACGAUCCGUAGCUGGUUUGAGAGGACGACCAGCCACACUGGGACUGGAGACACGGCCCGUGACUUACGGGAGGCAGCAGUGGGGAAUUUUGACAAUGGGGAAACCCUGAUCCAGCCAUCCUGCGUGUGCGAUGACAAGGCCUCGGGUUACCUUGCAGGAAGAACGAAAUAGAUACAUUACCCUGUGCAACUGACGGUACCUGCAGAAUAAGCACCGGCUAACUACGUGCCAGCAGCCGCGGUAAUACGUAGGGUGCAAGCGUUAAUCGGAAUUACUGGCGUAAGCGUGCGCAGGCGGUUCGGAAAGAAAGAUGUGAAAUCCCAGAGCUUAACUUUGGAACUGCAUUUUUAACUACCGAGCUAGAGUGUGUCAGAGGGAGGUGGAAUUCCGCGUGUAGCAGGGAAAUGCGUAGAUAUGCGGAGGAACACCGAUGGCGAAGGAAACCCUCCUGGGGGAUAACACUGACGCUCAUGCACGAAAGCGUGGGGAGCAAACAGGGAUUAGAUACCCUGGUAGUCCACGCCCUAAACGAUGUCAACUAGCUGUUGGCCUUCGGGCCUUGGUAGCAUAACGCGUGAAGUUGACCGCCUGGGGAGUACGGUCGCAAGAUUAAAACUCAAAGGAAUUGACGGGGACCGCACAAGCGGUGGAUGAUGUGGAUUAAUUCGAUGCAACGCGAAAAACCUUACCUACCCUUGACAUGUCUGGAAUCCCGGGAAGAGAUUUUGGGAGUGCUCGCAAGCGAAUCAACACAGGUGCUGCAUGGCUAUACGUCAGCUCGUGUCGUGAGAUGUUGGGUUAAGUCCCGCAACGCAACCUUGUCAUUAGUUGCUACGAAAGGGCACUCUAGAUCGCCGGUGACAAACCGAGGAAGUGGGGAUGACGUCAAGUCCCCAUGGCCCUUAUGGUAGGGCUUCACACGUCAUACAAUGGUCGGGACAGAGGGUCGCCAACCCGCGAGGGGAGCCAAUCCCAGAAACCCGAUCGUAGUCCGGAUCGCAGUCUGCAACUCGACUGCGUGAAGUCGGAACUGCUUUACAAUCGCGGAUCAGCAAUGUCGCGGUGAAUACGUUCCCGGGUCUUGUACACAAUUCCCGCUCGUCACACCAUGGGAGUGCCUACCAGAAGUAAUAGGCCUUAACCGUAAGGAGGGCGAUUACCAAUGGCGGAGGAUUCAUGAUCAGGGUGAAGUCGUAACAAGGUAG